UGUAUUUCAGCUCAUAGCUUGGAGACAUUUCAGUCUAUGGUCGGUUGGCUCCAAGGCAGGGAGGCAGGGCAGAGGGGCAUCACAGAAGAGAAACAGCUCCAAGGCAGAGGUGGCAGCUUCUCCCUUUAUCCCUUCUCAGGUACCUGCCUUUUGGGUGGUGCAGGGUGGGCCUUCCCAUUAUCCACACCCAGAACUAUGCUAAACCAAAGUGGACUAGUUUAGUAAUCAUGUACCCUUAAUCCCAGUAUCAUACCCUUGACCCCAGCAUCAUACACAACAGAGCCAGCCACCUCCAUAAAGCCCACUGUGACCUCAUGAGGCUUUGGGGGGAGAUCUAGAUAGAAGCCAUAAGAAGCCCCUUGCUUGACCAGCUGCUGCAUGUGAACACAUCACAUUUUUAUUCAGCUGGAAGGAGGUCAUCAGCGUAGGGAGAAAAAUGCCCACUGACACCACUUAGACCUUGUCCCUCCACCACAUUUCCCCCUGACCUAGACAUGUAUUUUCUGGCCCAAAGUCCACUAGGAUCUCACUAUAGUUCAUGCUUGCCUUGAACUGGCUGUGAAGACCAGGCUAACCUCGAUCUCACAGUAAUCUUCCUGCCUCAGACUCCUCAGUGAAAUUUAUCUCUCUGUAUUGUGAGUAGAACUCCAUUUUGCAUGUAUACCAUAUUUUCUUUAUGUAUUUAUCUGU
This 690-nucleotide long non-coding RNA is filed under the name Heterocephalus glaber (naked mole-rat). Its description in RNAcentral is "lncRNA (ENSHGLG00100046901.1)". Lineage: Eukaryota; Metazoa; Chordata; Mammalia; Rodentia; Bathyergidae. The record is from RNAcentral.